AGCAGCCGCGGUAAUUCCAGCUCCAAUAGCGUAUAUUAAAGUUGUUGCAGUUAAAAAGCUCGUAGUUGAAUUUCGGGAUUGGCGCAUCGGUCGUGCCUUACGGGGUAUGAACUGGUGCAGUCAAUUUCUCACCUUCUGGAGAACCGCGAUGUCCUUAAUUGGGUGCCGCGGGGAACCAGGACCUUUACUUUGAAAAAAUUGAGUGUUUAAAGCAGGCAUUUUUGCUUGAAUACAUUAGCAUGGAAUAAUAAAUAGGACGGCAUGGUUCUAUUUUGUUGGUUUCUAGGACCACCGUAAUGAUUAAUAGGGAUAGUUGGGGGCAUUAGUAUUCAAUUGUCAGAGGUGAAAUUCUUGGAUUUAUUGAAGACUAACUACUGCGAAAGCAUUUGCCAAGGAUGUUUUCAUUAAUCAAGAACGAAAGUUAGGGGAUCGAAGACGAUCAGAUACCGUCGUAGCCUUAACCAUAAACUAUGCCGACUAGGAAUCAGACGAUGUUAAUUUUUAAUGACUCGUUUGGCAC
This 520-nucleotide ribosomal RNA is filed under the name uncultured Entrophospora. RNAcentral describes it as "SSU rRNA". It matches the Rfam family "Eukaryotic small subunit ribosomal RNA", at positions 569 to 1086 of the family's 1831-position model. Lineage: Eukaryota; Fungi; Glomeromycota; Glomeromycetes; Entrophosporales; Entrophosporaceae. The record is from RNAcentral.